Molecule: ribosomal RNA, 253 nt
Filed under: uncultured bacterium
Lineage: Bacteria
Description: partial 16S ribosomal RNA
Rfam family: Bacterial small subunit ribosomal RNA
Source: RNAcentral
UACGGGGGGGGCAAGCGUUGUUCGGAAUUACUGGGCGUAAAGGGCUUGUAGGUGGCCAACUAAGUCAGACGUGAAAUCCCUCGGCUUAACCGGGGAACUGCGUCUGAUACUGGAUGGCUUGAGUGUGGGAGAGGAAUGCGGAAUUCCAGGUGUAGCGGUGAAAUGCGUAGAUAUCUGGAGGAACACCGGUGGCGAAGGCGGCAUCCUGGACCAUUACUGACACUGAAAAGCGAAAGCCAGGGGAGCAAACGGG